This 449-nucleotide ribosomal RNA is filed under the name uncultured bacterium. RNAcentral describes it as "partial 16S ribosomal RNA". It matches the Rfam family "Bacterial small subunit ribosomal RNA", at positions 29 to 523 of the family's 1533-position model. The record is from RNAcentral.
AACGAACGCUGGCGGCAUGCCUAACACAUGCAAGUCGAACGAGAUCUUCGGGUCUAGUGGCGCACGGGUGCGUAACGCGUGGGAAUCUGCUCUUUGGUUCGGAAUAACAGUUGGAAACGACUGCUAAUACCGGAUGAUGACGAAAGUCCAAAGAUUUAUCGCCAGAGGAUGAGCCCGCGUAGGAUUAGCUAGUUGGUGUGGUAAAGGCGAACCAAGGCGACGAUCCUUAGCUGGUCUGAGAGGAGGAUCAGCCACACUGGGACUGAGACACGGCCCAGACUCCUACGGGAGGCAGCAGUGGGGAAUAUUGGACAAUGGGCGAAAGCCUGAUCCAGCAAUGCCGCGUGAGUGAUGAAGGCCUUAGGGUUGUAAAGCUCUUUUACCCGGGAUGAUAAUGACAGUACCGGGAGAAUAAGCUCCGGCUAACUCCGUGCCAGCCGCCGCAGUAA